RNAcentral lists this ribosomal RNA (443 nucleotides) under uncultured bacterium. RNAcentral's name for it is "partial 16S ribosomal RNA". It matches the Rfam family "Bacterial small subunit ribosomal RNA", at positions 338 to 795 of the family's 1533-position model. The record is from RNAcentral.
CCUACGGGUGGCAGCAGUGGGGAAUAUUGGGCAAUGGGCGCAAGCCUGACCCAGCAACGCCGCGUGAAGGAAGAAGGCUUUCGGGUUGUAAACUUCUUUUCUCAGGGACGAAGAAAGUGACGGUACCUGAGGAAUAAGCCACGGCUAACUACGUGCCAGCAGCCGCGGUAAUACGUAGGUGGCAAGCGUUAUCCGGAUUUAUUGGGUGUAAAGGGCGUGUAGGCGGGAGCGCAAGUCAGAUGUGAAAACUCAGGGCUCAACCCUGAGCCUGCAUUUGAAACUGUGUUUCUUGAGUGCUGGAGAGGCAAUCGGAAUUCCGUGUGUAGCGGUGAAAUGCGUAGAUAUACGGAGGAACCCCGAUUGCGAAGGCAGCAUACCGGUGCACAACUGACGCUCAGGCACGAAAGCGUGGGUAUCGAACAGGAUUAGAUACCCGUGUAGUC